This 406-nucleotide ribosomal RNA is filed under the name uncultured bacterium. RNAcentral's name for it is "partial 16S ribosomal RNA". It matches the Rfam family "Bacterial small subunit ribosomal RNA", at positions 28 to 526 of the family's 1533-position model. The record is from RNAcentral.
GACGAACGCUGGCGGCGCGCUUAACACAUGCAAGUCGAGCGAAGCGGCGGACGGGUGAGUAACACGUGAGUAACCUGCCUUAGACAUUGGGAUAGCCUCGGGAAACCGGGAUUAAUACCAAAUGGUCUAAGAUGGACUCGCGUCCCAUUAGCUAGUUGGUGGGUAACGGCCCACCAAGGCGACGAUGGGUAGCCGGCCUGAGAGGGACGACGCGCAAAGUGAAACUGAGAAGCGUACCAAACUCUACGGGAGGAAGAAUGGGGGAAUACUCCACAAGGGAUGGAACUCUGAUGCAGCGAGGCCGCGAGAACGAAGAAGGCUUUCGAGGCGUAAAUUUUUUUUAUAUGGAAAGCGGUACUAAAAGAAAAAGCCCCGGCUAACUACGUGCCAGCAGCCGCGGUAAUCC